UGCGUAACACGUAUGCGAACCUACCCGCUAUUGGGGGAUAACCCGGCGAAAGUCGGACUAAUACCCCAUAUUAUUCUUACCGGGCGAUCCGGUAGGUCUGAAAGAUUUAUCGAUUGCGGAUGGGCAUGCGGAUGAUUAGCUAGUAGGUGGGGUAACGGCUCACCUAGGCGACGAUCAUUAGGGGUUCUGAGAGGAAGGUCCCCCCACACUGGAACUGAGACACGGUCCAGACUCCUACGGGAGGCAGCAGUGAGGAAUAUUGGUCAAUGGGCGCUAGCCUGAACCAGCCAAGUCGCGUGAAGGAUGAACCAGAUCUAUGGUUUGUAAACUUCUUUUGCAGGGGAGUAAAGUGCGACACGUGUGUUGUAUUGCAAGUACCCUGCGAAUAAGCAUCGGCUAACUCCGUGCCAGCAGCUGC
Molecule: ribosomal RNA, 418 nt
Filed under: uncultured bacterium
Lineage: Bacteria
Description: bacterial SSU rRNA
Rfam family: Bacterial small subunit ribosomal RNA
Source: RNAcentral